GGUAGCGUGGCCGAGUGGUCUCAGGCGCUGGUUUUAGGCACCAGUCUUUCGAGGCAUGGGUUCGAAUCCCACCGCUGCCA
Molecule: transfer RNA, 80 nt
Filed under: Trichonephila clavata
Lineage: Eukaryota; Metazoa; Arthropoda; Arachnida; Araneae; Nephilidae
Rfam family: tRNA
About the family: Transfer RNA (tRNA) molecules are approximately 80 nucleotides in length. Their secondary structure includes four short double-helical elements and three loops (D, anti-codon, and T loops).
Source: Rfam by way of RNAcentral